GACGGGUGAGUAACGCGUGGGAACGUACCUUUUGGUUCGGAACAACACAGGGAAACUUGUGCUAAUACCGGAUAAGCCCUUACGGGGAAAGAUUUAUCGCCGAAAGAUCGGCCCGCGUCUGAUUAGCUAGUUGGUGAGGUAAUGGCUCACCAAGGCGACGAUCAGUAGCUGGUCUGAGAGGAUGAUCAGCCACAUUGGGACUGAGACACGGCCCAAACUCCUACGGGAGGCAGCAGUGGGGAAUAUUGGACAAUGGGCGCAAGCCUGAUCCAGCCAUGCCGCGUGAGUGAUGAAGGCCCUAGGGUUGUAAAGCUCUUUUGUGCGGGAAGAUAAUGACGGUACCGCAAGAAUAAGCCCCGGCUAACUUCGUGCCAGCAGCCGCGGUAAUACGAAGGGGGCUAGCGUUGCUCGGAAUCACUGGGCGUAAAGGGUGCGUAGGCGGGUCUUUAAGUCAGGGGUGAAAUCCUGGAGCUCAACUCCAGAACUGCCUUUGAUACUGAAGAUCUUGAGUUCGGGAGAGGUGAGUGGAACUGCGAGUGUAGAGGUGAAAUUCGUAGAUAUUCGCAAGAACACCAGUGGCGAAGGCGGCUCACUGGCCCGAUACUGACGCUGAGGCACGAAAGCGUGGGGAGCAAACAGGAUUAGAUACCCUGGUAGUCCACGCCGUANACGAUGAAUGCCAGCCGUUAGUGGGUUUACUCACUAGUGGCGCAGCUAACGCUUUAAGCAUUCCCGCCUGGGGAGUACGGUCGCAAGAUUAAAAC
This 764-nucleotide ribosomal RNA is filed under the name soil bacterium Trim-S2T-M1LLLSSL-2. Its description in RNAcentral is "bacterial SSU rRNA". It matches the Rfam family "Bacterial small subunit ribosomal RNA", at positions 100 to 900 of the family's 1533-position model. The record is from RNAcentral.